RNAcentral lists this ribosomal RNA (363 nucleotides) under Escherichia coli. RNAcentral describes it as "bacterial SSU rRNA". It matches the Rfam family "Bacterial small subunit ribosomal RNA", at positions 1 to 360 of the family's 1533-position model. The record is from RNAcentral. Lineage: Bacteria; Pseudomonadati; Pseudomonadota; Gammaproteobacteria; Enterobacterales; Enterobacteriaceae.
AAAUUGAAGAGUUUGAUCAUGGCUCAGAUUGAACGCUGGCGGCAGGCCUAACACAUGCAAGUCGAACGGUAACAGGAAUCAGCUUGCUGAUUCGCUGACGAGUGGCGGACGGGUGAGUAAUGUCUGGGAAACUGCCUGAUGGAGGGGGAUAACUACUGGAAACGGUAGCUAAUACCGCAUAACGUCGCAAGACCAAAGAGGGGGACCUUCGGGCCUCUUGCCAUCGGAUGUGCCCAGAUGGGAUUAGCUAGUAGGUGGGGUAAAGGCUCACCUAGGCGACGAUCCCUAGCUGGUCUGAGAGGAUGACCAGCCACACUGGAACUGAGACACGGUCCAGACUCCUACGGGAGGCAGCAGUGGGGA